GGUUAAGCGACUAAGCGUACACGGUGGAUGCCCUGGCAGUCAGAGGCGAUGAAGGACGUGCUAAUCUGCGAUAAGCGUCGGUAAGGUGAUAUGAACCGUUAUAACCGGCGAUUUCCGAAUGGGGAAACCCAGUGUGAUUCGUCACACUAUCAUUAACUGAAUCCAUAGGUUAAUGAGGCGAACCGGGGGAACUGAAACAUCUAAGUACCCCGAGGAAAAGAAAUCAACCGAGAUUCCCCCAGUAGCGGCGAGCGAACGGGGAGCAGCCCAGAGCCUGAAUCAGUGUGUGUGUUAGUGGAAGCGUCUGGAAAGGCGCGCGAUACAGGGUGACAGCCCCGUACACAAAAAUGCACAUGCUGUGAGCUCGAUGAGUAGGGCGGGACACGUGGUAUCCUGUCUGAAUAUGGGGGGACCAUCCUCCAAGGCUAAAUACUCCUGACUGACCGAUAGUGAACCAGUACCGUGAGGGAAAGGCGAAAAGAACCCCGGCGAGGGGAGUGAAAAAGAACCUGAAACCGUGUACGUACAAGCAGUGGGAGCACAGAGCAAUCUGUGUGACUGCGUACCUUUUGUAUAAUGGGUCAGCGACUUAUAUUCUGUAGCAAGGUUAACCGAAUAGGGGAGCCGAAGGGAAACCGAGUCUUAACUGGGCGUUAAGUUGCAGGGUAUAGACCCGAAACCCGGUGAUCUAGCCAUGGGCAGGUUGAAGGUUGGGUAACACUAACUGGAGGACCGAACCGACUAAUGUUGAAAAAUUAGCGGAUGACUUGUGGCUGGGGGUGAAAGGCCAAUCAAACCGGGAGAUAGCUGGUUCUCCCCGAAAGCUAUUUAGGUAGCGCCUCGUGAAUUCAUCUCCGGGGGUAGAGCACUGUUUCGGCAAGGGGGUCAUCCCGACUUACCAACCCGAUGCAAACUGCGAAUACCGGAGAAUGUUAUCACGGGAGACACACGGCGGGUGCUAACGUCCGUCGUGAAGAGGGAAACAACCCAGACCGCCAGCUAAGGUCCCAAAGUCAUGGUUAAGUGGGAAACGAUGUGGGAAGGCCCAGACAGCCAGGAUGUUGGCUUAGAAGCAGCCAUCAUUUAAAGAAAGCGUAAUAGCUCACUGGUCGAGUCGGCCUGCGCGGAAGAUGUAACGGGGCUAAACCAUGCACCGAAGCUGCGGCAGCGACGCUUAUGCGUUGUUGGGUAGGGGAGCGUUCUGUAAGCCUGUGAAGGUGUACUGUGAGGUAUGCUGGAGGUAUCAGAAGUGCGAAUGCUGACAUAAGUAACGAUAAAGCGGGUGAAAAGCCCGCUCGCCGGAAGACCAAGGGUUCCUGUCCAACGUUAAUCGGGGCAGGGUGAGUCGACCCCUAAGGCGAGGCCGAAAGGCGUAGUCGAUGGGAAACAGGUUAAUAUUCCUGUACUUGGUGUUACUGCGAAGGGGGGACGGAGAAGGCUAUGUUGGCCGGGCGACGGUUGUCCCGGUUUAAGCGUGUAGGCUGGUUUUCCAGGCAAAUCCGGAAAAUCAAGGCUGAGGCGUGAUGACGAGGCACUACGGUGCUGAAGCAACAAAUGCCCUGCUUCCAGGAAAAGCCUCUAAGCAUCAGGUAACAUCAAAUCGUACCCCAAACCGACACAGGUGGUCAGGUAGAGAAUACCAAGGCGCUUGAGAGAACUCGGGUGAAGGAACUAGGCAAAAUGGUGCCGUAACUUCGGGAGAAGGCACGCUGAUAUGUAGGUGAAGUCCCUCGCGGAUGGAGCUGAAAUCAGUCGAAGAUACCAGCUGGCUGCAACUGUUUAUUAAAAACACAGCACUGUGCAAACACGAAAGUGGACGUAUACGGUGUGACGCCUGCCCGGUGCCGGAAGGUUAAUUGAUGGGGUUAGCGCAAGCGAAGCUCUUGAUCGAAGCCCCGGUAAACGGCGGCCGUAACUAUAACGGUCCUAAGGUAGCGAAAUUCCUUGUCGGGUAAGUUCCGACCUGCACGAAUGGCGUAAUGAUGGCCAGGCUGUCUCCACCCGAGACUCAGUGAAAUUGAACUCGCUGUGAAGAUGCAGUGUACCCGCGGCAAGACGGAAAGACCCCGUGAACCUUUACUAUAGCUUGACACUGAACAUUGAGCCUUGAUGUGUAGGAUAGGUGGGAGGCUUUGAAGUGUGGACGCCAGUCUGCAUGGAGCCGACCUUGAAAUACCACCCUUUAAUGUUUGAUGUUCUAACGUGGACCCGUAAUCCGGGUUGCGGACAGUGUCUGGUGGGUAGUUUGACUGGGGCGGUCUCCUCCUAAAGAGUAACGGAGGAGCACGAAGGUUGGCUAAUCCUGGUCGGACAUCAGGAGGUUAGUGCAAUGGCAUAAGCCAGCUUGACUGCGAGCGUGACGGCGCGAGCAGGUGCGAAAGCAGGUCAUAGUGAUCCGGUGGUUCUGAAUGGAAGGGCCAUCGCUCAACGGAUAAAAGGUACUCCGGGGAUAACAGGCUGAUACCGCCCAAGAGUUCAUAUCGACGGCGGUGUUUGGCACCUCGAUGUCGGCUCAUCACAUCCUGGGGCUGAAGUAGGUCCCAAGGGUAUGGCUGUUCGCCAUUUAAAGUGGUACGCGAGCUGGGUUUAGAACGUCGUGAGACAGUUCGGUCCCUAUCUGCCGUGGGCGCUGGAGAACUGAGGGGGGCUGCUCCUAGUACGAGAGGACCGGAGUGGACGCAUCACUGGUGUUCGGGUUGUCAUGCCAAUGGCACUGCCCGGUAGCUAAAUGCGGAAGAGAUAAGUGCUGAAAGCAUCUAAGCACGAAACUUGCCCCGAGAUGAGUUCUCCCUGACUCCUUGAGAGUCCUGAAGGAACGUUGAAGACGACGACGUUGAUAGGCCGGGUGUGUAAGCGCAGCGAUGCGUUGAGCUAACCGGUACUAAUGAACCGUGAGGCUUAACCUU
This 2906-nucleotide ribosomal RNA is filed under the name Escherichia coli. RNAcentral describes it as "23S ribosomal RNA". It matches the Rfam family "Bacterial large subunit ribosomal RNA". The record is from RNAcentral. Lineage: Bacteria; Pseudomonadati; Pseudomonadota; Gammaproteobacteria; Enterobacterales; Enterobacteriaceae.